AGCGGGGUGGAGCAGUUGGCAGCUCGUCGGGCUCAUAACCCGAAGGUCACAGGUUCAAGUCCUGUCUCCGCAA
Molecule: transfer RNA, 73 nt
Filed under: Mycoplasmopsis pullorum
Lineage: Bacteria; Bacillati; Mycoplasmatota; Mycoplasmoidales; Metamycoplasmataceae
Description: Mycoplasma pullorum tRNA
Rfam family: tRNA
About the family: Transfer RNA (tRNA) molecules are approximately 80 nucleotides in length. Their secondary structure includes four short double-helical elements and three loops (D, anti-codon, and T loops). Further hydrogen bonds mediate the characteristic L-shaped molecular structure. tRNAs have two regions of fundamental functional importance: the anti-codon, which is responsible for specific mRNA codon recognition, and the 3' end, to which the tRNAs corresponding amino acid is attached (by aminoacyl-tRNA synthetases). tRNAs cope with the degeneracy of the genetic code in two manners: having more than one tRNA (with a specific anti-codon) for a particular amino acid; and 'wobble' base-pairing, i.e. permitting non-standard base-pairing at the 3rd anti-codon position.
Source: Rfam by way of RNAcentral